GAUGAAGAACGCAGCGAAACGCGAUAAGUAAUGUGAAUUGCAGAAUCCAGUGAAUCAUCGAAUCUUUGAACGCACAUUGCGCCCGCCAGCAUUCUGGCGGGCAUGCCUGUUCGAGCGUCAUUUCAACCCUCGACCUUCCCUUGGGGAGGUCGGCGUUGGGGACCGGCAGCACACCGCCGGCCCUGAAAUGGAGUGGCGGCCCGUCCGCGGCGACCUCUGCGCAGUAAUACAGCUCGCACCGGGACCCCGACGCGGCCACGCCGUAAAACACCCAACUUCUGAACGUUGACCUCGAAUCAGGUAGGACUACCCGCUGAACUUAAGCAUAUCAAUAAGCGGAGGA
RNAcentral lists this unclassified non-coding RNA (343 nucleotides) under soil metagenome. RNAcentral's name for it is "partial contains 5.8S ribosomal RNA, internal transcribed spacer 2, and large subunit ribosomal RNA". The stretch from base 1 to 120 matches the Rfam family "5.8S ribosomal RNA", at positions 35 to 154 of the family's 154-position model. The record is from RNAcentral.